Molecule: ribosomal RNA, 253 nt
Filed under: uncultured bacterium
Lineage: Bacteria
Description: partial 16S ribosomal RNA
Rfam family: Bacterial small subunit ribosomal RNA
Source: RNAcentral
GACAGAGGGUGCAAACGUUGUUCGGAAUUACUGGGCGUAAAGCGUGCGCAGGCGGUGAUGUAAGACAGAUGUGAAAUCCCCGGGCUCAACCUGGGAACUGCAUUUGUGACUGCAUCGCUGGAGUACGGCAGAGGGGGAUGGAAUUCCGCGUGUAGCAGUGAAAUGCGUAGAUAUGCGGAGGAACACCGAUGGCGAAGGCAAUCCCCUGGGCCUGUACUGACGCUCAUGCACGAAAGCGUGGGGAGCAAACAGG